This 484-nucleotide ribosomal RNA is filed under the name uncultured bacterium. RNAcentral describes it as "partial 16S ribosomal RNA". It matches the Rfam family "Bacterial small subunit ribosomal RNA", at positions 29 to 507 of the family's 1533-position model. The record is from RNAcentral.
AUUGAACGCUGGCGGCAUGCUUUACACAUGCAAGUCGAACGGCAGCGCGGGCUUCGGCCUGGCGGCGAGUGGCGAACGGGUGAGUAAUACAUCGGAACGUGCCCAGUAGUGGGGGAUAGCUCGGCGAAAGCCGGAUUAAUACCGCAUACGACCUGAGGGUGAAAGCGGGGGAUCUUCGGACCUCUCGCUAUUGGAGCGGCCGAUGGCCGAUUAGCUAGUUGGUGGGGUAAAGGCCUACCAAGGCGACGAUCUGUAGCUGGUCUGAGAGGACGACCAGCCACACUGGGAGUGAGACACGGCCCAGACUCCUACGGGAGGCAGCAGUGGGGAAUUUUGGACAAUGGGCGAAAGCCUGAUCCAGCAAUGCCGCGUGUGUGAUGAAGGCCUUCGGGUUGUAAAGCACUUUUGGCGGGAACGAAAAGGACUGUGCCAAUACCACGGUUCGAUGACGGUACCCGCAGAAUAAGCACCGGCUAACUACGUG